UGGGGAAUAUUGCGCAAUGGGGGGAACCCUGACCCAGCCAUGCCGCGUGAAUGAAGAAGGCCUUCGGGUUGUAAAGUUCUUUCGGUAUUGAGGAAGGUUGAUGUGUUAAUAGCACAUCAAAUUGACGUUAAAUACAGAAGAAGCACCGGCUAAACUCCGUGCCAGCAGCCGCGGUAAUACGGAGGGUGCGAGCGUUAAUCGGAAUAACUGGGCGUAAAGGGCACGUAGGCGGUUAUUUAAGUGAGGUGUGAAAGCCCCGGGCUUAACCUGGGAAUUGCAUUUCAGACUGGGGNNUACUNGAGGAGUUUUUUGAGGGGGGGGUGUANAUUUCCACGUGUAGCGGUGNNAAAUGCGUAGAGAUGUGGAGGAAUACCGAAGGCGAAGGCAGCCCCUUGGGAAUGUACUGACGCUCAUGUGCGAAAGCGUGGGGAGCAAACAGGAUUAGAUACCCUGGUAGUCCACGCUGUAAACGCUGUCGAUUUGGGGGUUGGGGUUUAACUCUGGCGCCCGUAGCUAACGUGAUAAAUCGACCGCCUGGGGAGUACGGCCGCANGGUUA
Molecule: ribosomal RNA, 558 nt
Filed under: uncultured bacterium
Lineage: Bacteria
Description: bacterial SSU rRNA
Rfam family: Bacterial small subunit ribosomal RNA
Source: RNAcentral